Molecule: transfer RNA, 74 nt
Filed under: Candidatus Omnitrophota bacterium
Lineage: Bacteria; Pseudomonadati; Candidatus Omnitrophota
Description: Candidatus Omnitrophica bacterium (sediment metagenome) tRNA-Pro
Rfam family: tRNA
About the family: Transfer RNA (tRNA) molecules are approximately 80 nucleotides in length.
Source: RNAcentral
CGGGGCAUAGCGCAGUUGGCUAGCGCGCAACGUUCGGGACGUUGAGGUCCACGGUUCAAAUCCGUCUGCCCCGA